GCUGGUCGAUCCAAGCUAGGGAAUAGCUAUCCUUCUGACAUGCUUUAUUGAGAUUGAUGAAUUCGAUACAGAUUUAUCACUUGCCAUUCAUCUUCUUCAUCAGGAUCACAUUUGCAAUCCAAUCUAGAUAGAUCAUCUCCUGAUGAAGCCAUUUAACAUUGAGCAACUUGUCCACCUCUUCAACUAUUGCAUUUUGUUGUUCAGGUGCAAAGCUUCUCUUCUUUUAGCAUUGUCGCGCUAGGUCCUAAUCUUCUCUGACUUCAUCAACUCCAAACUCAGUUGGAAGCUUCAUCUUUAGAUGAUUGAUGGACACCACGGUUUGGAUUAUGGUGAGUCUUAAGUGUCUGUGGAUGACAUUGUAGGCCGAUGGUGCCCGAACCAUUAGAAAAUCCACUUGAGCUUUGGAUUGUCAAGGAGAUUGUCUAACUACUAUGGGGAGAGUAAUGACUCCUUCGACGGACAAUGCAUCUCCAGUA
This 476-nucleotide long non-coding RNA is filed under the name Elaeis guineensis (African oil palm). Its description in RNAcentral is "long non-coding RNA (EGUI_LNC051258)". Lineage: Eukaryota; Viridiplantae; Streptophyta; Magnoliopsida; Arecales; Arecaceae. The record is from RNAcentral.